Molecule: ribosomal RNA, 229 nt
Filed under: uncultured bacterium
Lineage: Bacteria
Description: partial 16S ribosomal RNA
Rfam family: Bacterial small subunit ribosomal RNA
Source: RNAcentral
UCCGUAGGGGGUCUGCCAAGUCUGAUGUGAAAUCCUGCGGCUCAACCGUGGAACUGCAUUGGAAACUGGUGGACUAGAGUGUGCGAGGGGUGAGCGGAAUUCCUGGUGUAGCGGUGGAACGCGUAGAUAUCAGGAAGAACACCGAUGGCGAAGGCGGCUCACUGGCGCAUCACUGACCCUGAGGGACGAAAGCGUGGGUAGCAAACAGGAUUAGAUACCCUGGUAGUCC